CAAAGAAAGAAAACCAGUUUUUAAGAAAAAGAAUGAGAGUGAAAGACAAAAAUAUUAUAUCAAGAAACUACCCACGUAGGUAACCAUAUAUUAGCCUUCUCUCACGUGGACUCUGGAACUGGACUGCUGGUGCUGAAUCUGGCCUCUGCCACUUAGACCUUGGGUAGUUUCCUAAAUCCACAUUCCAACCUUCUUUAUUGGGCUCUAAUUUACAUAGGUUGCAACUUACACAUCCAGCUGCCUGAUGCCGAAGCUCUAAGGAUGUGGCCCCUUCUUCCUUGCCCUUGCAGAAGCAUUAAAAAUAUCCAAACCACAAGAAGCCUCAGAAACCUAGCUAACCCCACCCACUUGCCAUACACAAGCCCCCUUUUAACAGUUCCAGCUGCUGUUACCCUUUCCCUGGGGGUAGCACCCUGUGUGACUCUGUGCAGCAGCCUUCUCUCAUAAGGAGCUAUAAGGAAUAAAGUGUCUGCCUUUCACCUGUCCAGGGGUCCUUGUGUUCUGCCCCACCCAUCAUCCAAAC
Molecule: long non-coding RNA, 523 nt
Organism: Gorilla gorilla gorilla (western lowland gorilla)
Lineage: Eukaryota; Metazoa; Chordata; Mammalia; Primates; Hominidae
Exons: 3
Source: RefSeq, a predicted model, not a curated record